RNAcentral lists this long non-coding RNA (1279 nucleotides) under Gouania willdenowi (blunt-snouted clingfish). RNAcentral's name for it is "lncRNA (ENSGWIG00000003737.1)". The record is from RNAcentral. Lineage: Eukaryota; Metazoa; Chordata; Actinopteri; Blenniiformes; Gobiesocidae.
CGGGCAUUGUGAGGUGCAUCCCAGGGGCCAGAGCGGGCGACAUAGAAUCAAAUCUAAAGUUGCUGGCAAAGAGUAAUCGUAAGUUUGAUAGGAUAGUCCUCCAUGUCGGCACUAAUGACUCCCGACGUCGUCAGUCGGAAGCAACCAAAGUGAACAUUGAAUCAGUUUGUGCUUAUGCUAAAACGAUGUCGGACUCCGUAAUUUUCUCUGGUCCCUUACCAAAUCUGACCAGUGAUGACAUGUAUAGCCUAUAGCAUGUCAUCAUUUAACCGCUGGCUAUCGAGGUGGUGUCCAGAAAACGAGGUGGGCUUCAUUGAUAAUUGGAGAUCCUUCUGGGGAAAACCGAACCUGAUAGGAAGAGAUGGAAUCCAUCCUACUUUGGAGGGAGCAUCUCUACUAUCAGAAAACAUGGCACAUUUAUGACAUCUCAUGAAUGAGACCAUGUUACAGAGGGGGAGUCCUCCACGCCCCUCUGCGCUUGCCUUAGGACAGUUUCCCUCCCAUUGCUAUUAUGAUAGCUGUGUUCAUCGCCAUGACAACUGUUGUGAUGGUGAUGAAUAUUAUUUUAUGGAGACGGUGUCUGUCCCCCGACCCAUAUUUCACAAUGAUUUUAACAUAAAAUCAAAUAAAAGAGCUAUCAAUUAUAAAAAUCUGAAAAAAAUUAAAAUCUCAAAUCUAGAAACACCAAAACAUAAAACCAUUAGAUGUGCUCUAUUAAAUAUUAGAUCACUGAGAUCCAAAUCUCUACUAGUAAAUGACCUUAUCUCAGAAAAUAACUUUGAUUUAUUCUGUUUAACUGAAACAUGGCUGUAUCAAGAUGAAUAUGUUAGUUUAAAUGAAGCCACUCCUCCCAGUCAUUUAAAUACUCAUAUGCCACGAGACAUAGGCCGUGGAGGUGGUGUAGCAGCUAUUUAUCAUUCCUCUCUCCUAAUCUAUCCUAAACCAAAGGCCAGUUACACUUCCUUUGAAAGCCUGGUUCUAAAUUUAUCUCAUACCGAAUCAAAAACCUGCCAGCCAGUCUUAUUUGUGAUAAUUUACCGUCCUCCAGGCCCUUAUUCUGAAUUUCUAUCAGAAUUCUCUGAGUUUAUAUCAAACUUAGUCCUCAGUUCUGAUAAAAUACUGAUAGUAGGAGAUUUUAAUAUCCAUGUUGACAAAGAUAGUGAUAGCCUGAGCUCAGCCUUUAUGUCCCUAAUAGACUCAGUUGGCUUUUUUCAAACUAUUAAUGAAGCUACUCAUCGUUUAAAUCAUACUCUUGAUCUUGUUCUAACAUAUGGCCUUG